RNAcentral lists this ribosomal RNA (419 nucleotides) under bacterium. RNAcentral describes it as "partial 16S ribosomal RNA". It matches the Rfam family "Bacterial small subunit ribosomal RNA", at positions 355 to 776 of the family's 1533-position model. The record is from RNAcentral.
UGGGGGAUAUUGCACAAUGGGCGAAAGCCUGAUGCAGCGACGCCGCGUGGGGGAUGAAGGCCUUCGGGUUGUAAACUUCUUUUGCUCUGAACAAGGCAUGCUAAUGGGUGUGUUGAGUGUAGGGGUUGAUUAGCGCCGGCUAACUACGUGCCAGCAGCCGCGGUAAUACGUAGGGCGCGAGCGUUGUCCGGAAUUAUUGGGCGUAAAGGGCUUGUAGGUGGCUGGUUGCGUCUGUCGUGAAAGCUCAUGGCUUAACUGUGGGUUUGCGGCGGGUACGGGCUGGCUUGAGUGCAGUAGGGGAGGCUGGAAUUCCUGGUGUAGCGGUGGAAUGCGCAGAUAUCAGGAGGAAUACCGGUGGCGAAGGCGGGUCUCUGGGCUGUUACUGACGCUGAGGAGCGAAAGCAUGGGGAGCGAACAGG